GAGAGCUAUGGUCGCCGUCGCCAUCUUGCGUCCGUCGCGGCCUCCGCGCGCGCCUCCCACUCUUGCUCCUUCCGCUGUCUCGCGCGAUCUGGGUGCCGGUGCACGGAACUCUCGCGAGGAAGGAGGGAACCGAUGACCCUAGGUUGGCUGACAUCAGUCGCUAGACCCGCAGCCCGCAGGCCCCGUUAGUCCCUGAACUGGCUUUCAUGGCCCAAGGUGUCUGUCAGUACUGCUGGGAAAGCUGCCUGUCCUGGACAUUUGCCAUCUGCUGCACCCAGUCCCGAGACCCCAACUCGGUCAUCCGAAGAAGCCACAUCUCUGGACAGCCCAGGAUCACCAGACACCUGAGAAAGAAGAAAAGGGACUCAGAAGAAACAGAGACGAUAAAGGAAGCCGAAGAAAAAUGAAAACUAAAAUGCCAUUCUCAGUCAAUAAAAAGGAACUGGGGGCUAUAGAGAAAGAAACCUCGGGAUGAGAAAGAGCUCUUAGAAAUAAAACAUGAGGGGAAAGUGAGCAAUUCAAUAGGCUUUUAAGAUGAAGUCUUCCAGAAUGUAUAAUGACAGAACCAGAUAGCUGGAAAACAGAAUAGCAGUAACACAGGUGGGUGCUCUUAGGGCUAGCCUGGCACACAAGGCCUCCACAAUGGAGGGGGUGGAUGGGAGGUGGGGGGCUGGUCUGCCACCACCACCAGGGGAAGCCACAGGCACCACCCUCUGGGGACAGCUUCCCUUGGCAAUAAUGUGCACGCAGGAUGCAUGGUGCCCAGGACUGUUCUUACACACAUUCAUUCAUGGGAUCCUCACAACCCAGUGCUAUGCAAUGGAUACAGCUGUUACCCCAUUUUUACUGAUGGGCAACAUCACAAGGCAGGGAGCAGCAGUAGAAUGGCUCCAGAGCCUGUGUUCUUGCCACCACCAUGACUGCAUCUCAAAAGAGAAGUCCAGGUCAGGCACAGUGGCUCAUGCCUGCCUUCCCAGCACUUCAGGAGGCUGAGGCAGGAGUAUCACUUGGGCCCAGGGGUUCAAGACCAGCUUGGGCAAUAUAGUGAGGCCACGUCUCUACAAAAAGUAAUUUUAAAAAACCAGCUGGGCAUGGUGGCACACGCCUGUAGUCCUAGCUACUAGAGAGGCUAAGGUGGGAGGAUUGCUGGAGCCCAGAAGGUGGAGGUUGCAGUGCCCUGUGAUCACACCACUGCACUCCAGCCUGGGUGACAGAGCCAGACCCUGUCUCAAAAAAACAACAAAAACUCAACAGAAGUCCAACAUCUAAAUAAAUUGUCCA
RNAcentral lists this long non-coding RNA (1281 nucleotides) under Homo sapiens (human). RNAcentral describes it as "HSALNT0350702". Lineage: Eukaryota; Metazoa; Chordata; Mammalia; Primates; Hominidae. The record is from RNAcentral.